GUCAUACUAGUUUAACAAGAACCUGUGUUUUGCAUACACAAAGUAGAAUCAUUUCUGUAUGACC
This 64-nucleotide transfer RNA is filed under the name Siphonosoma cumanense. Its description in RNAcentral is "tRNA-Ala". Lineage: Eukaryota; Metazoa; Annelida; Sipuncula; Golfingiida; Sipunculidae. The record is from RNAcentral.